GGCUCAUAAUAAUAUACCAAAUAAUAUUUUCUGAAUAUAUGAAUGAACUUGUUUACAUAUCUAUCUGUGGUAUAGCUUCCCAAGAAUAAUUUUAGUUAGCUCACUACAGAACUAAUACCAUUACACUCCAUUAAUAUCUUACCACCCCUCAUAAAUAUGGGAAACUUAUACUACUUGCAAUUGCCACUUUCUUAAUUCUACAAAGAAAUUAACUUUUGCUCUUCUACAUCCACUAUGGAAGACUCACCAUGCUUUUCUGAUGCCUUUAUGUGGCUGAUUAGAUGGACAUCUGAAGUAGUGAGACGGACAUGAGACCACCACCAUUGCCACCACAUCUAAGCUGCUAUACACACACACAAACACACACACACACACAAACACACACACACACACACACACAGACACACGAGGAUGCUUUCCUAGGGAAUAAUCCUAUGCUAAUACAGUGUUAAGAUUGCAAAUUUUAACCUUCAUAACUCAAGAAAGUGAAAAGUUAAGUGGUCAUUAACCCUGUCUAUAUCAAAGAUUUCUUUUAAAAUCCGAAGGAAGCAAUAGUUUUCCCAAAUACAUACAUAUAUAUUUUUCC
RNAcentral lists this long non-coding RNA (586 nucleotides) under Homo sapiens (human). RNAcentral describes it as "HSALNT0343030". The record is from RNAcentral. Lineage: Eukaryota; Metazoa; Chordata; Mammalia; Primates; Hominidae.